GCUCAAAUUUGAAAUCUGGCUCUUUAGAGUCCGAGUUGUAAUUUGCAGAGGGCGCUUUGGCUUUGGCAGCGGUCCAAGUUCCUUGGAACAGGACGUCACAGAGGGUGAGAAUCCCGUACGUGGUCGCUGGCUAUUGCCGUGUAAAGCCCCUUCGACGAGUCGAGUUGUUUGGGAAUGCAGCUCUAAAUGGGAGGUACAUUUCUUCUAAAGCUAAAUAUUGGCCAGAGACCGAUAGCGCACAAGUAGAGUGAUCGAAAGAUGAAAAGCACUUUGGAAAGAGAGUCAAACAGCACGUGAAAUUGUUGAAAGGGAAGCGCUUGCAGCCAGACUUGCUUACAGUUGCUCAUCCGGGUUUCUACCCGGUGCACUCUUCUGUAGGCAGGCCAGCAUCAGUUUGGGCGGUAGGAUAAAGGUCUCUGUCACGUACCUCCUUUCGGGGAGGCCUUAUAGGGGAGACGACAUACUACCAGCCUGGACUGAGGUCCGCGCAUCUGCUAGGAUGCUGGCGUAAUGGCUGUAAGCGGCCCGUCUUGAAACACGGACCAAGGAGUCUAACAUCUAUGCGAGUGUUUGGGUGUCAAGCCCGAGCGCGUAAUGAAAGUGAACGGAGGUGGGAACCCGCAAGGGUGCACCAUCGACCGAUCCUGAUGUCUUCGGAAGGAUUUGAGUAAGAGCAUGGCUGUUGGGACCCGAAAGAUGGUGAACUAUGCUUGAAUAGGGUGAAGCCAGAGGAAACUCUGGUGGAGGCUCGCAGCGGUUCUGACGUGCAAAUCGAUCGUCAAAUUU
Molecule: ribosomal RNA, 786 nt
Filed under: Alternaria sp.
Lineage: Eukaryota; Fungi; Ascomycota; Dothideomycetes; Pleosporales; Pleosporaceae
Description: partial large subunit ribosomal RNA
Rfam family: Eukaryotic large subunit ribosomal RNA
Source: RNAcentral